CAGUAGCCACGGUAACACGGAGGGUGCAAGCGUUAAUCGGAAUUACUGGGCGUAAAGCGCACGCAAGCGGUCUGUCAAGUCAGAUGUGAAAUCCCCGGGCUUAACCUGGGAACUGCAUUUGAAACUGGCAGGCUAGAGUCUUGUAGAGGGGGGUAGAAUUCCAGGUGUAGCGGUGAAAUGCGUAGAGAUCUGGAGGAAUACCGGUGGCGAAGGCGGCCCCCUGGACAAAGACUGACGCUCAGGUGCGAAAGCGUGGGGAGCAAACAGGAUUAGAUACCCGCGUAGUCCCUGUCUCUUAUAC
This 301-nucleotide ribosomal RNA is filed under the name uncultured bacterium. Its description in RNAcentral is "partial 16S ribosomal RNA". It matches the Rfam family "Bacterial small subunit ribosomal RNA", at positions 509 to 807 of the family's 1533-position model. The record is from RNAcentral.